Molecule: ribosomal RNA, 301 nt
Filed under: uncultured bacterium
Lineage: Bacteria
Description: partial 16S ribosomal RNA
Rfam family: Bacterial small subunit ribosomal RNA
Source: RNAcentral
CAGCAGCCGCGGUAAUACGAGGGGUGCAAGCGUUAUUCGGAUUGAUUGGGUGUAAAGGGUGUGCAGACGGCUUAUUAAGUCACUUGUUAAAUUCUUCGGCCUAACUGAAGGUCUGCAAGUGAUACUGAUGAGCUAGAGGGUGGAAGAGAGAAGUGGGAUUCUCGGAGUAGCGGUAAAAUGCGUAGAUCUCGAGAGGAACACCAAUGGCGAAGGCAGCUUCUUGGUCCAUUCCGGACGUUCAUACACGAAAGCGUGGGGAGCGAACAGGAUUAGAUACCCCAGUAGUCCCUGUCUCUUAUAC